AUGGUAUGUUAUGUCGUGUUAUGUUAUGUCAUGGUAUGUUAUGUCAUGGUAUGUCAUGUCAUGUUAUGUCCAUGUCUCAAUCUCUGAAUGCUCGGCUAUGAAAAGCCAACUGACAUUUAACUUCUGAGGUGCAGACCUGUUGCUACCCUCUAUAACAAGCGUCUCCAGACUUUUAUAGCAUGAGCUCCUUUAAAAAAAAAUGAAACAUGUCACAAGCAAACUCUUUAAAUUUUUAUUUAUUUAUAGCUUUUAAAUAGGCACAUUCUUCUCCUCUACCCGGCAACUCUUCCCCGGGUUCCUCGCUGUAUAAAAGAUGUCAAUAUACCUGAUAGAAUAAUGGUUCAUAAACGGUAAUCAACACGACAGCCCCACAACAUUGUCCUUAGUAUUUUCCAGAUUUUUUUUCUUCUUCUCCUGGUUUUGACUCCGUUUUUAACUCUCAAUAGUACAACUGUUCAUAGAGAAACAGCAACUGAAUGUUCUGAGUCCACGUCUAUGCUUAAAUCACAUCAGAAGACCUUCAGACCUAAACAUAACGAUUUUAGAUUUUUUGAGUGUAAUUCCCUUUUAAUUGCGCAUCGAGCCAGAGAGAGAUGUGUCGCUGUAGUGAUGCUUCUGUCAGGACGACUGCAGCUCGCGUCAUGGUAGAGUUUGUAAAACAAUGGCCAUCCAAUUGAUGUAAAUAAUCAUGACCGUUGUGUCAGGUAAGCCUACUUUACAGUUAACAUUUAAUUGACCAGGUAAUUGAUGUAAAUAAUCAUGACCGUUGUGUCAGGUAAGCCUACUUUACAGUUAACAUUUAAUUGACCAGGUAAUUGAUGUAAAUAAUCAUGACCGUUCUGUCAGGUAAGCCUACUUUACAGUUAACAUUUAAUUGACCAGGUAAAUGGGGAAAGUCUUUCUGUCUCUGCCGCUCUGACAUUUCUCAACCAUAUAUUUAUAUAUUCUUAAUUCCAGUCCUUUACUUAGAUGUGUGUGUAUUGGGUAUGUUGUGAAAUUGUAAGAUAUUACUGCACUGUUGGAACUAGAAGCACAAGCAUUUCACUACACCUGCAAUAACAUCUGCUAACCAUGCGUAUGUGACCAAAUUUGGGACUCCCCAAUCAUGGCCAGUUGUGAUACAGCCUAGAAUCGAACCAGGGUCUGUAGUGAACACCUCUUGCACUGAGAUUCUGUGCCUUAGAUCGCUGCGCCACUCAGGAGCCCAACUACAUGGUGAGCUACUCAUAGGUGGGCUGUGAGCUGCUGGUAGAUGUCCAUCCACCUAUUGGAGAGCCCUGAUCUAUAACCACUGUGAUUAUUAUCUCACCCUGCUGGUCAUCUAUGAUCGUCUGAACAUCUUGAAGAACCAUCUGGCCUUAAUGGCCGUAUACUCCUUAUAAUCACCAAUCUCUGAGGACUGGUCCACCCCUCUGAGCCUGGUUCCUCUCUACCCAGCACAACCAGAAAGAGGACUGGUCCACCCCUCAGAGCCUGGUUCCUCUCCACCCGGCACAACCAGAAAGAGGACUGGUCCACCCCUCAGAGCCUGGUUCCUCUCUACCCAGCACAACCAGAAAGAGGACUGGUCCACCCCUCAGAGCCUGGUUCCUCUCUAGGUUUCUUCCUAGGUUCCUACCCUUUCUAGGACGUUGUUCCUAGCCAGCGUGCUUCGACAGCUACAGAGUUU
Long non-coding RNA from Oncorhynchus tshawytscha (Chinook salmon), 1669 nucleotides. NCBI's taxonomy places the organism in Eukaryota, Metazoa, Chordata, Actinopteri, Salmoniformes, Salmonidae. The record is from Ensembl.